CCCUACCCGGGAACCAUAUACUAAAUUGAUUUUUGGAGCAGGGAGAUGGAAUAGGGGCUUGCUCCGUCCACUCCACGCAUCGACCUGGUAUUGCAGUACCUCCAGGAACGGUGCACCCCCU
Molecule: non-coding RNA, 121 nt
Organism: Poecilia formosa (Amazon molly)
Lineage: Eukaryota; Metazoa; Chordata; Actinopteri; Cyprinodontiformes; Poeciliidae
Source: Rfam